RNAcentral lists this transfer RNA (85 nucleotides) under Felis catus (domestic cat). It matches the Rfam family "tRNA". From Rfam's summary of the family: Transfer RNA (tRNA) molecules are approximately 80 nucleotides in length. Their secondary structure includes four short double-helical elements and three loops (D, anti-codon, and T loops). The record is from Rfam by way of RNAcentral. Lineage: Eukaryota; Metazoa; Chordata; Mammalia; Carnivora; Felidae.
GCCUGGGUGGCUCAGUCGGUUGAGCGUCCGACUUCGGCUCGGGUCACUAUCUCGUGGUUCGUGAGUUCGAGCCCCGCGUCAGGCU